This 374-nucleotide ribosomal RNA is filed under the name uncultured bacterium. RNAcentral's name for it is "bacterial SSU rRNA". It matches the Rfam family "Bacterial small subunit ribosomal RNA", at positions 66 to 436 of the family's 1533-position model. The record is from RNAcentral.
GAAUUUACAUGAAGCCUAGCGAUUGUAAAUUUAGUGGCGGACGGGUGAGUAACGCGUGGGUAACCUGCCUUGUACUGGGGGACAACAGUUGGAAACGACUGCUAAUACCGCAUAAGCGCACAGCUUCGCAUGAAGCAGUGUGAAAAACUCCGGUGGUACAAGAUGGACCCGCGUCUGAUUAGCUGGUUGGUGAGGUAACGGCCCACCAAGGCGACGAUCAGUAGCCGGCCUGAGAGGGUGAACGGCCACAUUGGGACUGAGACACGGCCCAAACUCCUACGGGAGGCAGCAGUGGGGAAUAUUGCACAAUGGGGGAAACCCUGAUGCAGCAACGCCGCGUGAGUGAAGAAGUAUUUCGGUAUGUAAAGCUCUAU